This 494-nucleotide ribosomal RNA is filed under the name uncultured bacterium. Its description in RNAcentral is "partial 16S ribosomal RNA". It matches the Rfam family "Bacterial small subunit ribosomal RNA", at positions 28 to 507 of the family's 1533-position model. The record is from RNAcentral.
GACGAACGCUGGCGGCGUGCUUAACACAUGCAAGUCGAACGGUGAAGCGCCUUCCUUUUUGAUGGGUGUGGAUGAGUGGCGAACGGGUGAGUAACACGUGAGUAACCUGCCCCCUUCUUCUGGAUAACCGCAUGAAAGUGUGGCUAGUACGGGAUAUUCUGGGUCUGUCGCAUGAUGGGUCUGGGAAAGAUAUUGUUUCGGUGGGGGAUGGGCUCGCGGCCUAUCAGCUUGUUGGUGGGGUGAUGGCCUACCAAGGCGGUGACGGGUAGCCGGCCUGAGAGGGUGGACGGUCACACUGGGACUGAGACACGGCCCAGACUCCUACGGGAGGCAGCAGUGGGGAAUAUUGCACAAUGGGCGCAAGCCUGAUGCAGCGACGCCGCGUGAGGGAUGGAGGCCUUCGGGUUGUGAACCUCUUUCGCCAGUGAAGCAGGCCUGCCUCGUUUGUGGGUGGGUUGACGGUAGCUGGAUAAGAAGCGCCGGCUAACUACGUG